This 96-nucleotide microRNA precursor is filed under the name Marmota monax (woodchuck). The record is from RNAcentral. Lineage: Eukaryota; Metazoa; Chordata; Mammalia; Rodentia; Sciuridae.
AAUGCAAUGGCUAUGUUGUUUGGUAAGUUUAUUUUUAGUUUUAAAAGGAACUACAUAACUUUUUUACAGAAUGGCUGUACCAUUUAAAUUUGCCAU